GAGUUUGAUCAUGGCUCAGAUUGAACGCUGGCGGCAGGCCUAACACAUGCAAGUCGAGCGGAUGACGGGAGCUUGCUCCUUGAUUCAGCGGCGGACGGGUGAGUAAUGCCUAGGAAUCUGCCUGGUAGUGGGGGACAACGUUUCGAAAGGAACGCUAAUACCGCAUACGUCCUACGGGAGAAAGCAGGGGACCUUCGGGCCUUGCGCUAUCAGAUGAGCCUAGGUCGGAUUAGCUAGUUGGUGGGGUAAUGGCUCACCAAGGCGACGAUCCGUAACUGGUCUGAGAGGAUGAUCAGUCACACUGGAACUGAGACACGGUCCAGACUCUACGGGAGGCAGCAGUGGGGAAUAUUGGACAAUGGGCGAAAGCCUGAUCCAGCCAUGCCGCGUGUGUGAAGAAGGUCUUCGGAUUGUAAAGCACUUAAGUUGGAGGAAGGGCAGUAAGUUAAUACCUUGCUGUUUUGACGUUUACCGACUAGAAUAAGCACCGGCUAACGU
Molecule: ribosomal RNA, 498 nt
Filed under: bacterium enrichment culture clone ALO1_GLFRUDD03HELMD
Lineage: Bacteria
Description: bacterial SSU rRNA
Rfam family: Bacterial small subunit ribosomal RNA
Source: RNAcentral